RNAcentral lists this long non-coding RNA (18200 nucleotides) under Solanum tuberosum (potato). RNAcentral's name for it is "long non-coding RNA (STUB_LNC007226)". Lineage: Eukaryota; Viridiplantae; Streptophyta; Magnoliopsida; Solanales; Solanaceae. The record is from RNAcentral.
UAUAAAAGCAAGUGAAAGUCUAAACUUGUCUCAAUUAGCCAUCUAAUACAAUAUUUGAAUGAACUAGGUGCACAACCCCUACAACAUAGUUCAAAAAUGAAGUAACUAGGGAGGAACUACAAAUGACUCAUACGUCCUUGAAUCAUGAGGACUCACCACAAGCUAGGAGAAUAGUUGAUCAAAGCUUUGAGCAAAUGAAGAUCACCUCAAAUACCGAACCCUACACUUUAGGAAAAAGGUAGGAAAAUAAGUGUUGGUACAAAAAUGGACUAAGUAUGAUAGCCAUGCAUAAAAAAGUUGAAAACAUGCUAAAAAUGACAUUUUAGAUAAAAAGCAUGCACUUUACCUAGUUUGAUAAUCAUCACGCACAUUAGUGUAAAGCGUAAGUCAUAAGCAUAUUCAACAUAUAGAUCAUCAUAGCAUAAUCGAACAAUCUCAUAAGUAACCCUAAGUUAUACAUGUGCAAUGCAUAGAUAAAGAUCCCAUAAUCCCAUAUAUACUAACUACCACUUUUAGGCCACCAUAAACAUCCUUACCAUUCAUUGGCAUCAUCCUUUAUUAAUACUCAUAGACAAGGAAGCUUUCACAUUUACUAAGUCAUAUAAAGGAAAGCACCUCAUAGUAACAAUGCACAUUAAGAAUACUUUAUUUCAUAAGUCAUCAUAACAUAAAAGGAACACACCAUAACAACUCUCAAAGCCUACUUGUGCAAUGCAUGGAUGAAGUCCCAUACACCCACCCACACUAAGUAGUGCUUCUUGAGGAGCCAUAGUUCAUAGCCAUCUAUUGUGCGGGUAAGCCUUAACCGACAUAGACCAUGUGAGAAAAUCAUGAAAUCGGUGUCAUGACCCACACAGAAAAGAGUUGGUAUACUUGCCUAAGGUAGAACCGGUAACAUUUAGCUUAGGUAGAUCCACUAGCUAAUAACCUAUCUAGGCACAUAGUUAUGGGAUAAGAAGAUUGUUAGUAGAAACCCGAACCUUACUUAACGGGGGAGCCUCAAUCUCAUGAGAUUACUUUUAGAAACCUGGCCUUACUUAACGGAGAGCCUCUAUCUCAUAUUCAAUAUCCACUCGGUGCUAAGCAUUACUUCCCACAAUUACAAGUUUAGUUUUGAAUUGAGUUAACUAGAAUGAAAGAGUGCCUUAACACUCUAUCCAAAACAAUUCAUAAAAUACCUCAUAGAUUCAAUAGGUGAGAAUGGAAUUUCAAUCUUAGAAUCAUCAUAUUGUGACAAAACCUUUCAUAUCAUAUUCAUUAUGUGUUUAUGAAAAUUACCUUUCAAUCAACACAACAAUUAGAUUAUAAUCAUGUUCAUAAAGCAUGAACAUAAAUAUCAUGAUCAUACAUAAUUCUCAUAAUUUUCCCAUCAAGGUCCAUGGACCACAUUCAAUCAACACACCUAGAAUUACUAAAUAAGGCAUGGAUAAUAACAAGAUUCAAGUAAUCAAUUUAUAAAAUUCAUAAUUCUAUAACAUUCUACUUGCAUCAAUCAAUACCCACACUUUAAUAUCCAAUUUGAGAAAACAGGGAAAUUCAUGGAUUCUUGAGGAAUUCAACUUAAAAUCAUAUAAAAUUAUUAAUAUAUUCAUAAACAAUCAUAAUUUAAUCAUUUAAAAUGAAUUUUAAAGGAAUCCAUGACAUUGAAGUCAAACCCUAACUUUUGGGUUUUCUAGCUUUGAAAUUGAGGUUUUUGAAGUGGCUCUAUGGGUGAAGGAUACCUAUAGAUGAAAAGAUACCAUACCUUGAUGAGGAAAUCCAACGAAUUUGAGGAGAAAAACUUGAUUCUUCAACCGUAGCUUCACCUUUCUUCCUCUUCUUCUUCCUUGAAAUUCUAGAGAGAUGAUUUUGGAAUAAAGUUGGUUAUGGAUUUUGGGUUUUGGGAUUUAUGAAGUAAAUGGGUUGGUUAAUGACUUCAAAACUUUUAUAUAGGUGUAUUAAAAUAAUAUUAAAUGACCUCACAUCAUACUAAAUAAAUUAUGAAAUAACCUAAAGACCCCUAGAACUAGCCGACUUGAACCAACUUAUAGACCCCAUCCACGAACCUUACCUACGAGGCGUUGACUAACCCACAUACCAUAUUGGUGGGACGUGGGUUGGGGUCUGCAGCCUCUAACCUUGGACUUGAUCCAUGAAGCUCCACCCACGGAGCGUGGGCCACCCUACAGGGCAUAGGUCCUUCCAUGGGUCACUAUUUUUUGGGUAGUUUUGAGGGUGGUUCUAGGGUCCUCCUCAAGGACCCUUGGUUGGUCCUUGGGGAGUCUUACCUUGAUGUUUUAACCCCUAAACCCUUCAUUCUAAGUACGAGAAGCAAAUUUUAUGACUCUAACACUUACGACAAGCUGUAGUUAAGCCUACUAAUUUUUGUGGUAUAAUAAUAAAUGUACAAUACAACAUAACCGAAACAUAAUGGAUAGCUCAAUGUUUUGACAUGCUAACUGAAAAUGCAACAUUAAUGUACUGUUAAUGAAACAUUUGGAACUAAUGCAUGUAUAACUGUACAAACUGGCCUAACAAGUGUAAUUAAUGAACUAAACGAAUCUACACAACUAGGGUUCUUAAUUUCAUGCGAGGAACUAGGCAGCAGUGUUACAACAACAUGAAAAUCUGAUUAGGAAUAUUCUAACAACUAAUCCACAACAAUUUCUAACAUUCAAGAAACCCUAGGUCUAGAUAAUAUGGAUGGAAUCAAGAAUCUGACUGAAUUCUAGGGACCUAGUGGAAGAAAAUAAUCCACUAGUGAAAUCCCACAUACAUGGUAAGGAAUUUCACAGAGAAAUCAUUCUAUUUUGGGGCAGAAACUGAAGAAGAUUUGUUGCGUUCUUGGAGAGGGUUGGUCAACUCUUUCUCCUCUCUGUGUUCUAAGUUUUAUGAAUUUUGGUAAAUGAAUUGACUAGGGUAGGUUCUAAUUAAGUGACAAGGUUAAAACUGACAAAAACUGCGUAGUUUAGGGGUUAAAUGACGUAUUUUAGGUGUCGAAUGUAUAGGGGAAAAGACCAAAUGACCCUGGAUGGACCGAUGGUCCAUUCUGGUUCGCCAUCAUUCAGGGUCUUAGAGUUCGAUAUGGGGGUCUGACCCAUGGCCCUGGAGCACAAACUAUUGCCUGACCUACAAUCCGUUGGUCUUAGCGUAGGUCAACCCUUAGCUGAAUUUUUCUAGGGGUUCUGGAGGGGGUUGCAGGUGGAAGACCACGGACCUCACCUACGGUCAGUAGGUGGCACCUGUCGGUGGCACCUGCAACUUCUGAAAUGUCUGUUGGUUGAUCUUUCUAGGAUACAGGGUGUUACAAGCUCGACGAGUUGGCACUGACUCCGCCUUGUGUGCCAGAUCCCUUAGUAUUUUUUCUACUCUUCAUUUCUGAAAGCUCACCAAAACAUUUUGAUCCAAUUGGGCGAUAUGCCUUCUCGUUAGGCGAGCCUAAAUACCGUUUUAAAGCUUUAUUCAAAGUGUUUUUGAUUCCGACUAAUCUUCACAACUCUUGUGCUUUACUGUGUACCUUGCAAGUAAUGGCGAGACUGAAGGGUAAGAAUGUGGUCUACUUCGAUACUGAGUCAGACAAAGAGGCUCCUCCUCCUCCUCUCCCUCUUAAGAAAAACUAGGCCUCACCAUUAAUGAAAUAUCUAAAUCGCCCACAAACUUCUGCCUAACAACCAUUUACCCAAGAUAGGGCACAACCUAGGGCGGUGAGGAAGAGGGUGGAAAUUAGAUCCAAGUUGGGUUAGCCCUCAUCUGCAUAGACAUAGAAUUCGAGACUUCUCCCUAUUAUAGCUCCAUGAACCUUGAAUUAGCUCAAAGAGGUAGGAGAACGGACCAUACUCGAGGAGAGAUGACUAUGCAUAGAUGGAUUGAUAAGCGAUUACCCAGCCAUCUAGGCUACAAUUUAGCUCCAUUGUUUUGAAAGCUUUACCAAAGCCAAGAUCCCAUACAUGCCUUCUUGGGUGAGGAAGUUUUUCGCAAAAUAUGCACAUGCACUUCCGAUGAAGCCAAAGGGUACAAUUUUGAAGCCACUUAAAGAAGUGGAAGUGAAAGCGAAGAGAGUCUAGUGCGACAUAGGAGCUAUUAAUACUGCCUAAAAUAUACCUGUAUUUGGAGAUGAUUUGUAUUCAUUCCCGAUGCGCAAUGAUCUGGACUCUCUUAAGGGUUGUCUAGCACCCUUGAUCUCUAAUUUUUCUCAUUCUUGAAUGGUGGAUUAUGCAAAUAUCGAGAAGAAAGAUUUAAUUAUGGUUGCCAGAUAUUGGUUUAGCUUUAUAAGUAGUAACCUGAUGUCAUUGAAGAAUAAGUAUAUUCUUUGCAAUGACAAGCCGGUAUUAGUGGGCAUCAUCGAUUGACAGCACAUACACGUUGGUACCAUUGUCACUGUAGAGAUUCUUAUAAGGGUGACGAAAGACCAGACAUUGCUUACAUUUCAAGUGUUGAUCAGAAAUUUCAGCUUGAGAGAAGGAGUCCGUUUUAGGGCUACUACAUAUGUGACAAUCACAUUACCCUUAUCCAUUGAUAUCCAGAGGAUCGAAGCAGAAUGAUUGUGAGAUUAUACGGCUCGAAGAAAUUUUCUACCACAAGACUCCACUAUAGUGGUCGACCCUGCCACAUUGACAUAUGAAACUAGCAAUUCUGUUCCUUUUGGGGUGCGGGCUGGUAUUCCUAUUCCUUGAUCUAUUGGUGGCUUUUCUCAUUCCACUACUGCAUCUGCACCUUCUACUUCUGUUACCGUUGCUAGUGUAAGGCCUCCCCAUUCUCGUGUUGUCCCUCCUCCCUUGACCCAUGCACUUAUAUAUAAUAUGGGCAGUCUUACCCCAUGAGCAGAUGUUAAAGCUGCUCAAGUUGAGAAGGACUUACCCCGACUCAUUGAUUAGGCUAUCUAUAAUGGCUUCGCUCCUCUACCUGAGCGUAUGGUUAAGUAUGAGAGGACUAUUGUGAUCCACAAUCUAAGAUUAGGUGAUUUUACUGCAAGGAUAGCAGAGUUGGGGAAGGUAGAGGGUAGUUCAAGUGCGUUGGAAACCCUUAGAGCUGAGGUUUCCACGUUGAGGGCUAAAGUUAACCUGAUUCAAUACAUGGAUAUCUUGACACUUUGGGGUAAUAUUCCCCUUUCAUAUGUUGUGGCCCCUGCAGCCAAGAUGCUUAGUGUUGCAUCUUCUUCAUCUAUGCAUGAGGUUGUUGUAGAUGUGGAUGCUAAGGACGAGGAAAUAGAUUAAGACACUAAUGAGGAGAGGUUGAUAGAGGACGAGCAAGGGGUUACUAAGAUCCUGACAUAGACGCAAGAGACGGAGGAGGCUAUCCUAGAGAGGUCCCUUUGAGAGACUACAGAGGUCCAGAGUGCACCACAUUUCUUAUUAUUAAGACGGGAAGUGAUACGCAAGCCGAGCCUUUCUUUCUGCCUCUUGUAGGAAUCGAUGCCCCACUUAAGGUUUCUCCACUAGAGACUUCAGAUGAGAGUGCUCCACAGGCAUAGAAUGUUAAGGGAUCCUAUAUCUCAGCCUCAUAGCAUUUCAUUUAUUUAGCAUCGAGGACACUACUUUUAAUUUUUGGUGGGGUGAGGGCCUUCGUGCAAAUAUUCUCCUUUUGUUUGUAUUUUGUUAUUUUAAACUUUAGUAGUUAAUGUUUUGUUUAUGUUAGAGUGCUUUUCUUUUGGGAAAUUAUGUGUAUUUACUUCAAUUUUUAUUCUCUACCUUUAUGAAUGCAACCCCACAUGAAUUUUUAAAUCUUGAAAUGCUUAGGGUAUUCAUUGACAUAAUUUAAAAAUAAUUAUUUUUCAAUAUCGAGGUCUUAUAUAGUAAUCAUGAUGAGCAUGAUGCAUAGUGUUGAUGUUGAGAGAAUGAAAUUGUUGUGGUUAAACUUUUGAAUGAUCCUAUUGAAUCUUUUGUGGAUUAGAUGUGUUUCGAUGUGAGCCUUGCAAUGAACAUCGCACGUACGCUUUUGCCCUUUUUUGGAUGUGCUAAAUGAGUAUUGUUUGAACUGGCAUAUGUGGUGAGAUUUCACUUGAAAGCAUGCAUGCGGAGUUCUAGAAUUUGCCUUGUUAGUCAAUUUUUUUGAAUCUUGGUAAAUAUGAGACAUGAUCUUUGGCAAAAAUUCAAUGAGGGAACCAAAUUGUUCAUAAACUAUUUGUGACUACCUUAUGAUGGUGUGAAACCUUUUUGGCCCCAUUUUAGCCUAAUCUAUUUAUUGUCAACCAAAAGAAAGCCUUUGAAUUAAAUUGUCUCUACCUUCUUACCUAAAAUCCUUUCUGAAGCAUUUUGAUAAUUGAAUAUCAAACUUAGGCCAAAAGUGUAAGUUGGGCGUGUGGAAAGAAAGGAUAAAUGAAAGCCAAGUAAAGGAAAAAGAAAGAUGUGUUGAGGCUCAACCUUGAAUGUGAAAAAAAAGGGAUAUAGAGAAAAAAAAUGAGAGAAAAGUGAAAAUGAAAAUUGGACCACAUGAAAUAAAUGGGGAUUCCAAAUAAAAUGAGGUUGAGUUCUCAAUUGAAAAGGUAGAAAAAGAACUACAGAAGAGGUGAUGAUGAUUGUAACAACUCUUUGAAAAGGUAAAGUCGCCGAUCUAAAUUGACCAUGCCUUAACCCACAACCCCAUUAAAAGCCUAAAAGACACUUGAGAUCUUGCACGAACUAGGUUGUUUUGUAAUUUGAAGAUAUAGGCAAACCUAUGGGACAAAGAUUUCAUGUAUUUGUUUGUUGAGAGAGUGAGAUUUGCAUUAAUUUCUUAUACCUUUGUUGAAAUUUAUUUGUGAGAGCAUGGAAUCGUUCUUGAUAUGAGGGCACUUGAAUGCAUUUGUUGAAGCAUGUUCUUACAUUAGACAAGAAGCUAUAGUGAGCUUGAGCUAGUGUUGAGACUAGCUAGUAAUCAUGUGAAGUUUUUUAAUCAUGAUUUAGUGUAACAUACUAUUGAGAAUAAUCUGGCUAUGGCAUUUGUAUGCUAGUUCUCAUUGAGUAUUGCUGUAGACACCCAUAUUAAGCUUAUUGUGUUCUUUAUUUACUUGAGGACAACCAAAUGUUUAAGUUGGAAGUGUUGGUGAGUGGUAGACUUACACUCAUUUAAGGUCCAUUUAGCUAAAUAUUUAUUGUCAUCAAUGCCUUAAUAUUGUUUUUUCUCAUAUAAAACUGAUGAUUUUACAUUAUGAAGGCAAUUGGACGAGGCAAGGACUAAUGUUUGAAAGAAGGGCCAAAAUUAAAAAGAAGUGCAAUGUGAACAUUGUUGAUCACCUAGGAUGAAGGGAAAAUUCCCUACUGAACAUGACCUCUUCAAAUUUGAAAGUGCACGACACUUGUUGCUACCAAGGAAGGUGCGCAUAGUGAAAACAGUGGACUUGAUAGUCAUCGCCCAAAGUUACAGCGUGCAAGGUAAUGAUUGAAAGCUCGAAAGUCGGACUUAGGUGGUAUUCGGCCAUUCGCCGAAUGUGAAAGGCUAACUCAAUCAAGUUCGUAAACUGAGGUUCAAACACCUAAAGCCUAGAGCUUCAAAGGGUGAGCUGAGGAGCCAAGGGCAAUCUGUCAUGCAGGUAGGGCAAGCCUGACUAAUGUCACUGAAUUAGUCCUUAAUUGGAUUUUUGGCCAAAACAUGGGAAGUAUAACUAGCCCAAAGAAUAGAAUUGAAAAAUAUAUUAUUCAGAGACAUUUUCAGAAAAAAAAAAAAAAAAAAAAAAAAAAAAAAAAAAAAGGAGAAAAGUUCAAAAAUAUAUUGAGAAAUUGAUAGAGAACAUCUUUCUACCUUUGAAUAUGUAACACCCCAGAUUCGAGAAGGGCAAGACAACAUUUUUCAGAAGCUGCAGGUGCCAUCCGACAGAGGCCACCCACGGCCCGUGGAUGGUACCACGGACCGUAGGUGUGGUCCAUAGAUUUGCCACCCAAAAAGGAGUCAGGGGACCUAGAACCACACCCAAAGCAACGAACCAUUUGUGGGACCAUGGUCCGUGGUUGAUGGCCCGUGGUCUAGACCCCUAAUUCCCACAUUAUGACGCCAGAUGACAGACCGCCAGGAUGUGCUGUCGAUCAGACCACGGUCUGUCAGUCAGGGUCCGUGGGUCGUGGCUGGCAGUUAGUUUUAGGAGCAGUUGGGUCUUUUCCUAAAUAGUCUAGCCUAAUACUAUGUCAUUUUUACCUUCACUAAGACUCGUAUAUAAGUAUUUUAACCCCCAAAUUUCCCCAAUUGAAAUAAAUCUCUCAAAUUUCUAAAUGAAGAUAAAGCUCUUCCUUGCCAAAUAUGUCUCUCUCUAGAAGUUGAAGAAAAAAGUUAGGGUUUUAAGAUCAAGCAUCCUAAUUCUCCAUUCCUUCCAAGCUUUGGGCAUUAAGGUAUGAUAAUCUUCAUUCAUGGAUCCCUUCCAUCCAGGGAGUUCCCAGAUUUUUCAAUUUUAUAAAGUUAGAUCCCCCAUUUAAGUUAGGAUUUUCUUCAAUUGCCAUGGGUUCCUUUUUAAUGUUUAUUUUUUAAUUAAUUUAUGAACUUUUAUGCAUGAAUUGAAGUAAUUGCAUGCUUUUAAGUUGAAUCCCCAUGAACCCAUGUAAAUCCCAUGUUUUCCAAUUAUGAUGAUAUAAUGUGGGUUUAGAUAAUGAAAAAAGAGUUUGAUAAAAUCAUGCAUCAAUUGUUAUAAUUACAUGAAUUUAUGAUGAAACCCAUGUUUAACCCUUGUUUUCUAGAUGUUGAUGAUUGAAAGUGGGUUUUGAACCUUGAAAGAUGAAUUAUGAAAUUAUGCAUGCUCUUAUGAAGUUUAUGGAAAUGUUUUAAGGGUGCUUUUAGAGUGUAGUAUCAAUGAUCUUAUUAUGGUUGUGUUUUUGAAAGGAUUUAUCAUAUACACACAUAGGCAUGAAUUGUGAAAGACUUUCUCACCUGAAAUGAACCAAUGCGAAGCAGCUAAUCUAAUGAUGAGGCAAGAGGUGAUUACCCAUGCUCUCUUAUUGAAUGAUAAGAGGCGAUUAGACAUGACACAUGAUGUAAAGACAAUAGGCGAUUACCCAUGUUCCUUAAAGGACAAGAGGUGAUUACCCAUGUUUCUUCAUGAGCUAUGAUUAAAAGAUCAUGGACAGUGAAAGAUUUUCUCACGCAUGGUGUAAGGAGCUAUACUAUAAUAACACAAGGGGCGACUACCCAUGUCUCUUAAAGAUAAGACAAGUCAAGACUUAAUAACUACUGUUUGGGAAUUAUUCUUAGCACCGAGAGGAUAUUGAGAUUGAAGCUCUUCCGUGUUGAGGUCGGGUUUUCUAGAAGAAAUCUUCUUAUCCCUUACCUAUGUGACCCCAUAUGAUGAUGGUCUAGAAAGACUUUAACUAGUGGAUCCACUUUAGCUCAGAUUCACGGUUCUACCUUGGAAAGUAAGACAACCCUUUUUAGUGUGGGAUACAACGGGGGAUCAUGUUAUCGCUCACAUGGUCUUUAUGUCAGUUAAGACUCAUUCCCAUAAUAAUAAUUAACCAAAGUUAAUUCAAGUAGUAUCUCACAUGUGUUCAAAGAUGAUGUUCACUUGCAUUGAUCAUGGUUUUAUGACUUAUGGUUUCUAACUCUCAAAAAACAUGUUUUAGCUUGAUCAUUGCAUACUUAUAAAAAUUUCCCUUUUAGCAUGAUUUAAAUGUUUUAUGCAUGGUUAUCAUACUUGUUACAUUAGUUUGUACUGACACAUAUUUUUUCCUACAUUUCCCUAAAUGUAGGGUCCGACAGUCAGGGUUCUCAAUUUCAUGGCUACAGGUUCACUUAAGAGAUUUUGAGCCUUGGUGAGUCCCCAUGCUUUGAGGAUGGAUUUUCAUCAUUUCAGUUUUCUUUCCUACUUCCAGUCUUGGACAUGAUGUAUGGGCUAGGCCCAAUUUAUUUCUAUUGUAUUAGAUGGAUAUUGAGACAAAUGUUUAGUCUUCCGCUUCGCUUUUAUAAAACAUUUGACUUGAAAUGUUGUUUUCAUUCCUUUGUCCGAUUCUUAUGUUAUGAAUGCUAAGUGGCUUGUGUGGGAUAUCUUGGGAUCCUAUACGCCAUGUUACAUCUAGGGUGUACCCCUGGGUCAUGACAAACUUGGUAUCAGAGCCAGGUUUAGAAGGGUCCUAGGAUGUCUCAUAAGCCACAUCGAGUAGAGUCUUGUUCAUGAAGGUGAAGCGUGCCACAUUUAUGAAUGGGAGAAUAUAAGAUGUUUAGGAAACUCCGCAUCUUUCAUUACUAUAAAGUGGUACGAUAGAGUGUAACUCUAGGUGUCUUUCUCUCCUAACCCCUAUUUAUGCUUUUCAAAGUAUGCUUCCAUGAUGGAAUCUUGUGAGAUGGAAUAGAAAUGUUCGUGAAAAUGUUAGACAAGAGGUUCCCCAAGUGCCGAUCAACCCUUUGUCCGAGCAAUUGACUUAUGAUGAGUUUCGAGUUGCAUUUCAUGCGUUGGACCAAGCUAUGAUGGCUCAGGCAAAUAGGGAGGUUGUGGCUCCCAUGAACCCAAGGGUGGGUACAAUGGCAACUAGAGUGACAAACUUUAUUAGGAUGAAUCCAUAGGAUUUUCAUGGGUCAAACAUUGAGGAAGAUCCUCAAGAGUUCAUUGAUGAGGUGUAUAAGGUGUUGAUGAUCAUGGGAGUGACGAUGGUGGAAAAGGCGGAAUUGGCCACUUAUCUACUUAAGGGUGUUGCUCAAGUUUGGUUCAACCAAUGCAAAUAAUAGAGGGCAGAAGAUGAGGGUUCUCUUGAUUAGGAGAAAUUUAAGGUUGUUUUUCUUGAUAGGUUCUUUCCCAUUCAAAUGAGAGAAGCAAAAGUAAUUGAGUUCAUUAACCUUCGCCAAGGAGAUAUAAGUGUGAAUGAGUCUGCUUUGAAAUUCACACAAUUGUCUAAUAGGCUCCCACUAUGGUUGCCGAUCCAAGGGCAAGGAUGAGUAAGUUUGUGUCGGAUGCUUCAGACUUAGUGGUCAAAGAAUGCCUAACCACCAUGCUUGUUAAGGAAAUGGAUGUUUCUUUGUUGAUUAUACAUGCACAACAAAUAGAAGAAGGAAAGCUUAAGAAAAAAACUAUGGAUUCAAAGAGGACAAGAAGGGAUGAUGGUGAGUUUUCACAUUCAAGGUCUGAUGGAGCUAAUUGUUCUCUAGGUAAGGAUGGUAGUGAGAAAACGUGUCCCGACUGUAGGGAGUGUGGGAGAAGACAUGAGGGUAAAUGUCUAGCCGGUUCUAAUACUUGUUUUGGUUGUCGAAAGAUGGAUCAUAAGAUAAGGAAUUUUCCUUCCGUUUCUAGAAAUGAGGGAGAUGAUCAUCAAAGGGCACAACCUCACCCUUUCUCCGAUCCUAGUGGUGGUUGGAAACAAGAUAGCUUAUAUUCUCUUCAAACUCAACAAGAUCAUAAGGGUUCCACAUAUGCGGUGAUUGGUAAGUUAUGGUCUUUUAGCUUUGUGGGUAUGGAUUUUUUAGUAUUGAUUCUUGCAUUGACUAUGGUAAGACUCCAUGUAUGGAGAAUUUGUUUGGAGAAGUUAUUGAAAUCCUUGUGGAAACCUCUUAUGUGUUUACUUGUUUCAAUGGUUUAGUGGUUGUUAAGACGUUGGUGUUAUGGUUGGGGUGAGGGAGAUGGAUUUGAAAAGACUAGUGGGGUUUGCUCCAAAGGAGGAGAUAGGGUGCCUCAUGGUUGGUACGUGAGUAGAACUAUGUUGGUUUUGGAAGAGUUCUUUGUCAUGGUUUGGUGGGUGAAUGUUCAAAGGCGAUGUGAUGUCUUAGUAUCUCUAUAUGUUUCCUUCUAUCUUGUAGUCUAGCAUGAGGGCUUAUCCCUCAUGGUUCACUCUUUAGAAUUCGGGUUUCUUAGUCAUCCGCAUGUUUCCUCAUGCAUGCAUACUCAUGUAUAUGAUUUAGUUUAAUUGAUUGUUUCAUGUUUAUGUGCAUUUGAAUAUGAUCUUGCAUGUUUCUCCUAUGAAGAGAUGUUUUAAAAGUAUGAUUUAGCCUGCAGAUGGAGUUUCCUCCCUCGAUAUGUGCAUUUAUGUGAUUGCAUUCAUGUUGGGCUGCUAGGUCUUGUUCCUAUCUUCCUUAGAAUGUUUUGAAUAUGUUCUAGCUUGGAGUCGAGGUUCCUCCUUGGCUAUGUGCAUUUCGAUGAAGUUGCAUUACUAAUUAGGUUGUUAGUUUCCCUGCUACUCUCUUCGUGCUAAUUUAAGUUCCAUUCGAGGUUGAAUGUUCCCAUAGGGGAGAUAAUGUAACACCCCGGAUUCAAGAAGGGCAAGACAACAUUUUCAGAAGAUGCAGGUGCCAUCUAAUAGAGGCCACCCACGACCCGUGGAUGGGACCACAGAUUGUAGGUGUGGUCUGUGGAUUGGCCACCCAAAAAGGGGGGAGGUGACCUAGAACCACGGUCAGACCAACAGACCGUUUGUGGGACCAUGGUCUGUGGUUAAGGGCCCAUGGUCCAGAUCCCCAAUUCCCACUUUCUGACUCCAGACGAUGUACUGACAGGACAGGCCAUCGGUCAGACAAUGUUGCGUCAUUUGGGGUCCGUGGGUUGUGGCUGGCCGUUGGAUCUUUUCCUAAUUAUUUUAUCCUAAUACUAUGUCAUUUUAACCUUUACUAAGAUCCUUAUAUAAGUAAUUUAAUGCCCAAAUUUCCCCAUUAGAAAUCAUUCUCUCAAAUUUUAAACUAAGAUCAAGCUCUUCCUCUCCAAAUAUUUCUCUCUCUAGAAGUUGUAGAAGAAAGUCAGGAUCCUCCAUUGCUUCCAAGCUUUUGGCAUCAAGGUAUGACAACGUUCAUCCAUGCAUUCUUAACAUCCAUGGAGUUCCCAAAUUCUCCAAUUUUGUAAAGUUAGAUUUCCCAAUUAAGUUAGGGUUUUAUUCAAUUACCAUGGGUUCCUUUCAAUGUUGAGUUAUUUGAUUGAUUUAUGAAAUUUUAUGCAUGUAUUAAAGUAAUUGCAUGUUUUUAAGUUGAUUCCCAAUAAACCCAUGUAAAUCCAAUGUAUUCCAAUUAUGAUGAUAUAAUGUGGGUUUGGGUUAUGAAAGAAAAUUUUAAUGAAAUGAAGCACAAAUUGAUAGAAUUUGCAUUAAUUUAUGAUGAAACCAAUGUUUAGCCCUUCUUUUCUAGAUGUUGAUGAUUGAAAGUGGAUUUUAAACCAUGAAAGGUAAAUUAUGAAAUUAUGCAUGUUCUUAUGAAGUUUAUGAAAAUGUUUUAAGGGUGCUUUGACAGUGAAGUAUCAAUGAUGUUGUUAUUAUUGUGUUUUUGAAAGGAUUUUCAAUAUACACAUGUAAGCAUGAAUUGUGAAAGGCUUUCUCACAUAAAAUGAACCUAUGCUAAGAAGUUGAUCUAAUGAUGAGGCAAGAGGCAAUUACCCACCCUCUCUAAUUGAAUGACAAGAGGCGAUUACCUAUUUCACAUAAUGUAAGGACAAGAGGUGAUUACCCAUGUUCCUUUAAGGACAAGAGACGAUUAACCAUGUUCUUUUAUGAGCUAUGAUGAAAAGUUCAUGGACGGUGAAAGGUUUUCUCACGUAUGGUCAAAGGAGAUAUCCUAUUAUAAUGCAAGGGGAGACUACAUAUGUCUCUUAAAGAUAAGAUAAGUGAAGCCAUAAUAAUUACUACGGCGGAAUUACGCUUAGCACCGAGAGGAUAUUGAUAUUAAAGAUCUUACAUGUUGAGGUCGGGUUUUCUCGAAGCAAUCUACUUAUCCCUUACCUAUGUGCCCCUAUAGGAUGAUGGUCUAGAAAGACAUUAGCUAGUUGAUCAACUUUCGCUCAGAUUCACGAUUCUACCUUGGCAAGUAGGACAACCCUUUUUGGUGUGGGAGACCGGGGAUCAUGUUAUAGCUCACAUGGUCUUUAUGUCGAUUAAAGCUCAUUCCCACAAUAAUAAUGAACUAAGGUUACUUCAAAAAUUAUCUCACAUGUGUUCAAAAUUGAUAGUCACUUGCAUUGAUCAUGGUUUUAUGACUUAUGGUUUCUAACUCUCAAAAUACAUGUUUUAGCUUGAUCAUUCCAUACUUAUGAAAAUGUUCCUUUUUGGCAUGAUUUAAAUGUUUUAUGCAUGACUAUCAUAAUUGGUACAUUUUUUUGUACUAAUGCAUACACUUGCCUACAUUUCCCUAAAUUUAGGGUUUGACAUUUAGGGUUAUCAACUUCAUGGCUAGACGUUUACUUGAAAGAUUUCGAGCUUUGGUGAGUCCUCAUGCUUCGAGGACGGAUUUUCAUUGUUUCAGUUUUCUUUCUUACUUUCAGUUUUGAACCUGAUGUAUGGGUUAUGCCCAAUUUCAUUAUAUUGUACUAGCUGGCUAUUGAGACACAUGUUUAGUCUUCCGCUUUGCUUUUAUAAAACUUUGGACUUGAAAUGCUAUUUUAAUUCCUUUGUUCUAUUUCUUAUGUUAUGAAUGAUAAGUGGCUUGUAUGGGGUCUCUCGCGGUCCUAUACGCCAUGUUAUAUCUAGGGUGUACCCCUGGGUCUGUCAUGGCUCUUUUUAGCAUUAUUUAAAUGUUUUAUGCAUGACUAUCAUAAUCGGUACAUUUUUUUAUUCUAACGCACACACUUGCCUACAUUUCCCUAAAUGUAUGGUUUGACAUUCAGGGUUCUCAACUUCGUGGCUAGAGGUUGACUUCAAAGAUUUCGAGCUUUGGUGAGUCUUCAUGCUUCGAGGAUGGAUUUUCAUUGUUUUAGUUUUCUUUCUUACUUUCAGUUUGAACCUGAUGUAUGAGUUAUGCCCAAUUUCAUUCUAUUGUACUAGCUGGCAAUUGAGACACAUGUUUAGUCUUCCGCUUUGCUUUUAUAAAACUUUGGACUUGAAAUGCUAUUUUAAUUCCUUUGUUCUAUUUCUUAUGUUAUGAAUGCUAAGUGGCUUGUAUGGGGUCUCUCGGGGUCCUAUACGCCAUGUUAUAUCUAGGGUGUACCCCUGGGUCGUGACAGAAGAACACUUUUCUAGAUUUUGGGGUUUUACAAUUUUGUACUUGAAUUUGACAAUUGAAAGUUAAAUCCAAAGCGGGGUUGCUCUUUAUUUCUUGAUUUCAUGUCACUCAUGGCUAUAUUGAUGAAACAUAUAAUUUCUUUACCUUUUUUGAAUGUCGAAUAAAACCCUAAUAACUAGGGGUUCUCUAAUGGGGUUAGGUGUUUGUUUAAUGUAGUGGGUAUUUUUCUAUGGUUUGUUUUUGUGUUGUCCAUACAUGAUUUUUUUCUAAUUAUCAUGGGGUAAACUAAUGGGUUAAGGUUGUAAAAUUAAUUCCUCCUUCCAAUCUUUGGUUGAUGUUCAAAACAGAUUAAUUAGAGUGGGUAAUUAGUUCAAUACUAGCAAUUUACAUUUGAUGUUUAUGACUUGCUCGAAAGAGAGGUUAUGGGUCUUAUCUAUUUACCCUAUUCUUGAAAGAGAGGAUAGAAUAAGGUAAUGGGUUGUUUUGAAUUUGCAUAUAAAUGAGACCGAAAGGAUGUUCUAUGCAUAGAUGCUUUGAGAUCGAAAGAUUAUUUGCGGCAAUAAAGAUUACAUAUCCUAUUCAUGAAUCAUCAUCACUAUAGAGAUACAUAAUUACCACUAUGUGAGAUUGACUUCCAAUUCUCACACCUGUAGAUUGUAUAUUAACUCUUGAUUGACUUUCACUGUUAACCAUUUAUUCUAGGUAAGAAACAGUUUUAUAAUCUAAAAAAAUGAGUUAAAAAUAUUUAACAAUAAUCGACUUAAUUUUUAUUUAUUUGGAAUAACAACGUAUUCAAUUUGAAGUCUCUUCUUUCAUAAGUGAAUAUCAUAAGGAAUCUAGAGUAUUUUCAAGCAAUAAUUCCUUCAAGAAUCUAAUAAAAAAUCCAUAUAUCAUCAUAUUAAAGGAAAUAUAACGAAUUUUUUUAUUAACUUGAUUACUCAUUUAUAUAGUUCUGAAUAAUUUAAGUUGGAAGUCGGUUCCAUCUUCAUCAUCAUUGUUAUCUUCUUCGUCAUAAUUGUUGUGUACAUUUUUUUUUGAGAAGGAUUGUUGUGUACAUUUUUCAUCUUAGCCACAUUACGUUUAGUUGCAUUGAGAAUGAUAGAGACCGUUAAAACAUUAUUAUAUAUACAAUGAGUAAAGGACUAGGGUUUUCUAGAUGUUAUUACAAACUUUUGUACAAGAAAAAAGUUUGAAAGAUUUUUUGGACCGAAAAAGCUUGUAAUAAAAUUUAGAAAACCCUAAACCUUAUCCCUCAUAUAUAUUAUGGUGUUUUAAUAGUCCUUCACAUAUUAAAUGCUACUAAACCUAAUGCGACUAAGAUGAAUAAGGUCACAACAAUGAAGAAGAGGAUGAGUGUGAUAAUGAUAAAACAUAUUUCCAACAUGAAUUCUUCAGAACUGAAUCAAUGAGUAUUCAUAUUCAUAAACAUUUCUCUUCAUUUUAUUUCCUUUAUUUGAUGAUAUGUUGAUUUAUCAUUGAAUUCUUAAAUGGAUUAUAACUUCCAAAUGGUCUAGUUUUCUUAGAACAUUCACAUUUGAAUAGAAAUCUUAAAUUUUAAUACAUUGUUGUGUGUAACUAAAUAAAAAUUAUUUCGAUUGUUGUUAAAUAUUUUAAGCUUAUUUUUUUAGUUUUUCUUAUUAAGAAUAAAUGGUUAAUUCAACGUUGAAAGAAGUGAUAUUAUUCAGAUUUCCUAUUUUCAAAUUAAAACAAAACCUUUAACAAUUAUUUCAUUGUUUUAUCAAAUUGAGUAUUCACAUUUGGUGUAUAUAUAUAUAUAUAUAUAUUUGUAAUAUAAUCUAUAUUGAAUAUAUAAUAGUAGUAGUAACGCUUUUGUUUUGAAAUAUCGGGUUUUAUUGGAAAUUGAUAUAAAAAAUAGGUGGAUUUAAUUGGACCCAAAUUGUUGGUGUCAAACUUCUUAUCAAGAGACCAUGUCUAACUUAUCUCUAACCUCUUCCAUAUCAUUAAGACUAUGGAAGUUGUUUGCUAGUUUUGAAUAUUUAAAUCAUGAGGCAUUAUAACUAUCUCAGGUACUACUAAAACGGUUAAAAAAUUAGUUUGUCAAAAGCAGAAGAAUAUAUUCAUACCAGUGUCAUUCAUCAAUACGUGGAGCUUGCAAGAUAAGAAAAUAGUCAAAUCAUGGGAACACAGUCUUUUUCAAUAGUUUAGUUUUGAAUGUUAGCAUUGAUAGUUUAAAACUAGAUAGUAUUUCAUACCCUAGAUAGAGAUUAAUUCUUUUUUGGACAAGAAAUUGUCGAUUACAUUGAGAAAAUAUGAACCCAAACGUUAAUAUCUAUUUGUUUGUUGGGAGCCACCACAACAAGAACAAUCAAAUUGCAAUACAUAUGGGGCAAUCUAGACACUAGAUCCUAUGGCUUCUAUAUGAGAAUCAUAAAAGAGAAUCAGUGUAUGUCAAAAGAUAGGAAGUUCAUUACAUUGCCAACAUAGAGGAAAGGAAAAUUGUUAAUGGGAAACAAUAUACCAUUAUGUCUCUAUGGGGCUUUCCAAGGGAAAAGUAGAAACUCACUCGCUAGUCCUUGUUAAAAUUAUUUUAAGGUAGUGAGAUAUUACAUGUCACAUAACAAAUGUAGUUGAGAACAUCGUGAAGUUAUCACAAAAAAUCCAUGUGAUGCUACCACAGAUCUACAGAGAAGUAAACACACUAGCAUAUUACAUUGUCAAUCAUGCCCUUGAUAAAAAAGAAAUAAUCAUUUUUACUACAUUUAUAUCAUUACCAAAUAAACCAGAGAUAUUUUGAAUUUUCUCAAGCAACAAAUGACCAACAAAAGGAUAAAAACUAAAAAUAUAAAUCAUAUUAGGGAAGGGGAGGAACACAUCAUCAUAAGACUACGAGUACAAUUUUUUUUUAUUUUCUUGAAUGGUCAUACACCACAAGGACAGGACAACGCACAAAUACAAAGGUGAAGGAUUUAACAAAAUACCAACAUCAAAUACACAAGUGAACGAUUGAGCUAAUGCUUCAAGACAAAUUCAACCUACAAUGUCAUUGAUAUUAAAUAAGUUAUGGGGAGUGAGUAAAUCAAGCUAGAUCGGUACCAGAGAAGAACAAUGAUGAGUUAUAUCAUUCGCACAAAAGGCUCUCAGAUAUAUGAGACCCAAAAGGGGAACACUGUUAGAGCAAUCACCGCAUAGAUAGACAAAAAAAUCAAGAUAGAAAAUCUUUACUGUUUCGAAACAUAAAAGUUUUCUCAAAGCUGCUACAACAUUUCCUACAUCAUCAAAGUCAACUUAGUAAUGAUGAGUAGAAGGAAGAAUAUGCAGAGGAACACAAGGAAAUACUCACAAACUAGAAAAAGGAGCUCAACUCCUUGACCAUCAUAGCAGAUCCAGAGCUUUCAUAGGAGCACAUAGGUUUGAGUCAAAUAAAUAACCCUUUGUUUGCAGAUGUGACACUGGUGUGAACAAAUGAG